Molecule: ribosomal RNA, 253 nt
Filed under: uncultured bacterium
Lineage: Bacteria
Description: partial 16S ribosomal RNA
Rfam family: Bacterial small subunit ribosomal RNA
Source: RNAcentral
UACGAAGGGUGCAAGCGUUACUCGGAAUUACUGGGCGUAAAGGGCUCGUAGGCGGCCAACUAAGUCAGACGUGAAAUCCCUCGGCUCAACCGGGGAACUGCGUCUGAGACUGGAUGGCUUGAAUCCGGGAGAGGGAUGUGGAAUUCCAGGUGUAGCGGUGAAAUGCGUAGAUAUCUGGAGGAACACCGGUGGCGAAGGCGGCAUCCUGGACCGGUAUUGACGCUGAGGAGCGAAAGCCAGGGGAGCAAACGGG